RNAcentral lists this ribosomal RNA (433 nucleotides) under uncultured bacterium. RNAcentral's name for it is "partial 16S ribosomal RNA". It matches the Rfam family "Bacterial small subunit ribosomal RNA", at positions 29 to 507 of the family's 1533-position model. The record is from RNAcentral.
AAUGAACGCUGGCGGCAUGCCUAACACAUGCAAGUCGAACGAAGGCUUCGGCCUUAGUGGCGCACGGGUGCGUAACGCGUGGGAAUCUGCCCUUGGGUUCGGAAUAACAGUUAGAAAUGACUGCUAAUACCGGAUGAUGUCGUAAGACCAAAGAUUUAUCGCCCAAGGAUGAGCCCGCGUAGGAUUAGCUAGUUGGUGGGGUAAAGGCCUACCAAGGCGACGAUCCUUAGCUGGUCUGAGAGGAUGAUCAGCCACACUGGGACUGAGACACGGCCCAGACUCCUCCGGGAGGCAGCAGUGGGGAAUAUUGAAGAAGGGGGGAAUGCCGUAUCCAUAAAUGCCGCGUGAGUAUAAAAGGCUUUAGGGUGGAAAAGCUUUUUUACCGGGGAGGAAAAUGAAAGUCCCGGAAAAAUAGGCCCCGGCUAAGUUCGUC